CCCUUAGAUGUUCUGAACCGCACGCGUGUUACACUGAUGCAUUCAACGAGCUUUACCUUGGCCGAGAGGCCUGGGAAAUCUUUUUAGCAUGCAUCGUGAUAGGGAUUGAUUAUUGCAAUUAUUAAUCAUGAACGAGGAAUUCCUAGUAAACGCAUUUCAUCAAAAUGCAUUGAUUACGUCCCUGCCCUUUGUACACACCGCCCGUCGCACCUACCGAUUGAGUGGUCCGGUGAAGUCUCGGGAUUGUGGCAAUCUCCUUUAUUGGAGUUUGACUGCGAGAACUUGCCUAAACCUUAUCACUUAGAGGAAGGUGAAGUCGUAACA
Molecule: ribosomal RNA, 324 nt
Filed under: uncultured eukaryote
Lineage: Eukaryota
Description: partial 18S ribosomal RNA
Rfam family: Eukaryotic small subunit ribosomal RNA
Source: RNAcentral